AGAACAUCCCAUCUUCGAGCUCUCUCGCCCCGAGAGAGAGACCGACAACCCGUGAGAAGGGUUCGACCAAAACGCAGUUCUCCGGCCAUCUCUCAGCGGCGGACCACCGACGAUCACUCCCACUCCUUGGCGCCGACGUCCUCCUAGCGACGGAUCAUCCAAUCAGCGAUGGACGGGGACAAUAUAAGGCCGGAAAGCUUGAAACUUUUUUCGGCGAUUCUGGACAUUUUCCGGUGACUCCAUCGGCGAUUUGGCUUGCAUGGCAUACGAAAGUUGGUCUACUCCUCGUGCUCUACGUGGUAGUAGGAAGACUAGACGGUGGAAGCACUCGCCUGACAAACGUGAGGAAUUGUCUGGGUGGUGAAGAAAAGGGAAGGAGUUUUCCCGGUGCCAUGUUCUUCGUCAAGGGAUUAACUCACCGAUUUGGGGAUUCUGCUUUCGAUCGAAAUCGAUAUCAAGCAAAAGAGAGGUCAAGAUGAUGAGGACUGGUAGCUUUGUGGACUCAGGACUCAAGAUCUGGUUCUGGUUAAUUGCUUCUCAGUUGGUUCUGCUAUAAUUUUUGCUCGAGCUUUACAAUGAAUCAAUGAUCUGACCAAUCCAAUGGUCAAGCUAUCUGAUCGAAGAUCUUCUCGCCGCGAUGAGGCUGGAUGCCUGAGUUGCAUGUAUGGUGAAUGAGGUGUGGGUUGAGGGUAAAAUGGAAUACUUUUUUUUUUGUUGAGAAUAAGAGACCUUUA
Molecule: long non-coding RNA, 734 nt
Organism: Rosa chinensis
Lineage: Eukaryota; Viridiplantae; Streptophyta; Magnoliopsida; Rosales; Rosaceae
Exons: 4
Source: RefSeq, a predicted model, not a curated record